CCUACGGGAGGCAGCAGUCGAGAAUCAUUCACAAUGGGGGAAACCCUGAUGGUGCGACGCCGCGUGGGGGAAUGAAGGUCUUCGGAUUGUAAACCCCUGUCAUGUGGGAGCAAAUUAAAAAGAUAGUACCACAAGAGGAAGAGACGGCUAACUCUGUGCCAGCAGCCGCGGUAAUACAGAGGUCUCAAGCGUUGUUCGGAAUCACUGGGCGUAAAGCGUGCGUAGGCUGUUUCGUAAGUCGUGUGUGAAAGGCGCGGGCUCAACCCGCGGACGGCACAUGAUACUGGGAGACUAGAGGAAUGGAGGGGGAACCGGAAUUCUCGGUGUAGCAGUGAAAUGCGUAGAUAGCGAGAGGAACACUCGUGGCGAAGGCGGGUUCCUGGACAUUAACUGACGCUGAGGCACGAAGGCCAGGGGAGCGAAAGGGAUUAGAUACCCUAGUAGUC
RNAcentral lists this ribosomal RNA (446 nucleotides) under uncultured bacterium. Its description in RNAcentral is "partial 16S ribosomal RNA". It matches the Rfam family "Bacterial small subunit ribosomal RNA", at positions 338 to 795 of the family's 1533-position model. The record is from RNAcentral.